AUGCCUGUGACAAGGAUGAAUUACCUGACUCUGUGCCAGGGAGAAGACUCCAGCUCACUUAGCAGCCUCUUUGCCCUUGGAUUCUCACAUAGUGACAUCACUGAGAAGCAGCUGCCUCAAGGAAGUCGUGAAGGAGGAAUAAAACUUCAAAUAGGAAAGACCGCAUCCCCUUUUCUAAUGAGGAAGUCAGAAAAUAAGACGAGAUUUGGCAAGCCCCAACUUGAGAAAUGGAAGCAAAGGAUGUAACUAGAAACCAUCUCAGAAAUCUAAUCAGCCUCACAAGGUAAGAACCAUGAUUAUCAGAAACUCGACUUUCUCUUAUUUGUUAUUUCAGUUGCCCCCAAUUUAUUCGAGAUUAAAAGCAAAAGCAAACGAAUAAACAAAAACAAAACCCAAACCCA
Molecule: long non-coding RNA, 401 nt
Filed under: Felis catus (domestic cat)
Lineage: Eukaryota; Metazoa; Chordata; Mammalia; Carnivora; Felidae
Description: lncRNA (ENSFCAG00000041867.2)
Source: RNAcentral